This 373-nucleotide unclassified non-coding RNA is filed under the name Hevea brasiliensis (rubber tree). The record is from RNAcentral. Lineage: Eukaryota; Viridiplantae; Streptophyta; Magnoliopsida; Malpighiales; Euphorbiaceae.
GGGCUCUUCACAGAAGAUAUAUAAGGCAGAAUAUAGGAUCCUAAUUGUUUUUCAGCAUAACAUAUCCAACCUGGACACGCUGAUGAAAGCAUAGGUAGCGCUGAUUUAGAUCUAUCAUCAUCUUUUGAUUGGUUUUGCUUGUAGCGCAUAAUGAACUCAUUACAAGUUUCCACAAGAGUUAAAUCUCUACUGCAACUUGUAUCAAAUACAGCCUUUACACCCAAAGACUUAAAAAAAUGAAGUGAGUUUCUUAAAAACCUGAAGCAGGGAGAUGCCAAAAUGAACUGCAAGAGAAGCUCUGGAUUGUGGAGACACAGAGACAAUAACCACUUUUCCUUUAUCAAUAUUAGAAAGGAAUUCAUCUAAACUUUGC